AAGCCUUCGGGGAAGAGGCAAAGUCCCUGAACCGUCCUGACUCCAGCCACCAGCCGGUGUUUGGUGGAUCAGGUCCCGGAGCUCCGCAGCCUGGGAGCCCCACACCAGGCCGGCCCCUACGGCCGCUCAGAAAACGCGGCGAGCGGAACCCGCACGCGGAAGCGCCGGCCGCACUGAGCAUGCCCAGUUGCAGAGCCGACCAGAGGAGUUUUUUCUUUUCUUUUCUUUUUUUUUUUUUAAGGGGGGGGGUCUCAAGUAGGAGGCCUCCCCAUCACCCCCACCCCAGCCCCCCACCACCCCCGGCCUAAGCAGCUACCAUGGCCCAGGUGGCCGGCGCGGCGUUGUCCCAGGCGGGUUGCUCGAAGGUCCAUGUGUUUUGCAAAUUCAAAAAAUUCGCAAUGUUGCUGCACCAAAGGAUAAUGAAGAAUCUCAGGCUGCACCAAGGAUGCUGCGAUUACAGAUGACUGAUGGUCAUAUAAGUUGCACAGCAGUAGAAUUUAGUUAUAUGUCAAAAAUAAGCCUGAACACACCACCUGGAACUAAAGUUAAGCUCUCAGGCAUUGUUGACAUAAAAAAUGGAUUCCUGCUCUUGAAUGACUCUAACACCACAGUUCUUGGUGGUGAAGUGGAACACCUUAUUGAGAAAUGGGAGUUACAGAGAAGCUUAUCAAAACACAAUAGAAGCAAUAUUGGAACUGAAGGUGGACCACCGCCUUUUGUGCCUUUUGGACAGAAGUGUGUAUCUCAUGUCCAAGUGGAUAGCAGAGAACUUGAUCGAAGAAAAACAUUGCAAGUUACAAUGCCUGUCAAACCUACAAAUGAUAAUGAUGAAUUUGAAAAGCAAAGGACGGCUGCUAUUGCUGAAGUUGCAAAGAGCAAGGAAACCAAGACAUUUGGAGGAGGUGGUGGUGGUGCUAGAAGUAAUCUCAAUAUGAAUGCUGCUGGUAACCGAAAUAGGGAAGUUUUACAGAAAGAAAAGUCAACC
RNAcentral lists this long non-coding RNA (985 nucleotides) under Homo sapiens (human). RNAcentral describes it as "long non-coding RNA NONHSAT165806.1". The record is from RNAcentral. Lineage: Eukaryota; Metazoa; Chordata; Mammalia; Primates; Hominidae.